This 73-nucleotide transfer RNA is filed under the name Candidatus Woesearchaeota archaeon. RNAcentral describes it as "tRNA-Pro". It matches the Rfam family "tRNA". From Rfam's summary of the family: Transfer RNA (tRNA) molecules are approximately 80 nucleotides in length. The record is from RNAcentral. Lineage: Archaea; Nanobdellati; Candidatus Woesearchaeota.
GGGGCCGUAGUCUAGCUUGGUAGGAUUGGCGCUUGGGGUGCGUCCGACCGGGGUUCAAAUCCUCGCGGCCCCA